UACGUAGGGGGCAAGCGUUGUCCGGAAUUAUUGGGCGUAAAGAGCGCGUAGGCGGUCCGGUAAGUCGGCUGUGAAAGUCAAAGGCUCAACCUUUGAAAGCCGGUGGAUACUGGGUGGCUAGAGUACGGAAGAGGCGAGUGGAAUUCCUGGUGUAGCGGUGGAAUGCGCAGAUAUCAGGAGGAACACCAAUAGCGAAGGCAGCUCGCUGGGACGUUACUGACACUGAGGCGCGAAAGCGUGGGGAGCGAACAGG
This 253-nucleotide ribosomal RNA is filed under the name uncultured bacterium. RNAcentral's name for it is "partial 16S ribosomal RNA". It matches the Rfam family "Bacterial small subunit ribosomal RNA", at positions 524 to 776 of the family's 1533-position model. The record is from RNAcentral.